Gossypium arboreum is the source of this 532-nucleotide long non-coding RNA. RefSeq lists it as uncharacterized. NCBI's taxonomy places the organism in Eukaryota, Viridiplantae, Streptophyta, Magnoliopsida, Malvales, Malvaceae. The transcript has 3 exons. The record is from RefSeq and is a predicted model, not a curated record.
ACAUUUGGAAAAUAUUUUCCAAAACAUGGGUAAAAUCUUCUCUAUUUUACGGAAAAUGUCUUACAGAUUAUUUUUCCGUAAGACAUUUUCCAUCUCUUCAUCCAGGCAAGGCAAAUCUGCAAAGGCAAAUCUCUCUUUCUAAGAAUGGGUAAGGGCAACAAAGAAGGGACCUCCAAACAAUUCAGGUGGACAAAAUCGAUGGAACAUGUUUUUCUUGAAAUUCUAGCAGAGGAGGCCCAGAAAGGAAAUAAGCCUUCUAAUACUUUCAAAACAGUUUCUAUUAAACGAGUUGUCGAAGCUAUUUCUGAAAGAUUCCAAGUCCAAUGCGAUGCGAAGCAUGUGGAAAAUCAUUUGAGGACUGUAAAAAACCAAUGGCAAAUUAUAUGCAAAAUUCGAGGUGAAAGUGGUUUUGGAUAGGAUGAUAACAUGAAAAUGAUCACAUGUGAUAGAGCGACAUAUGAUGCAACAGUGAUGGUAAUAUAUGUAUAUAUAUGUUAAGUAUAUUUCAAUUGUUUUAUACUUGUUAUUCUAA